Molecule: long non-coding RNA, 956 nt
Organism: Sinocyclocheilus anshuiensis
Lineage: Eukaryota; Metazoa; Chordata; Actinopteri; Cypriniformes; Cyprinidae
Source: Ensembl
CAUGCAGAAAGUUAGUGACUGACAGUUUCCAUUCACUUUCAUUGUAUGGAAAAAAGGUGAACGGUGACAGGCUGUCAUUCUGCCUAAUAGAACUCAUGCAGGAUUAUUACGAUGCAGCAGAUCAUGAUUGCAAUUAUAAUCAACAGAGAUCCAGCAGCAGCUGCAGCAGAGAUCAGCACUAUCAGAGAUACAGCGUCUGGAAGAACUGAAGGAGAAUAAAGAGAGACAGUCAUGAAUGAGAGAGUCACAUGACCCACAUUAACCACUGAACACACCAAUGAACAAUUCUGCUGUGAUGAUGAUGACGAAGAACACUGUGAAAAGUUUCUGCUGAUGACAGGAGCAGGCAGACGAGCUGGAAACAGAAUAAAAAGGAUUAUGGAUAAAUGUUACAGUCAGCCGGAUCCAGAUCAGAUGGUGGACCUGCACCUAUACACAACCUCAUGACGAUCCAAUGUGAAGACCUCGUCGACAUGUCAGCCAUUGGAACAGAUCCUCAGCAAAGACCACAAGAACCAGACAAGCUGCACAGACUCCUGUGGCCAGCUUUGUCUCCAUACCAGUGUGAUGAAUCCGAUAUUCAAGCAGAAGGAACUGGAUGAAAUAUUCUGAAUGCUACCGAUCUCAAUCGGACUUGUGAUGCGGGCUGAGUCAUAAUCAUACAGUGUUCGUUUGUUGGUCAGAGGAGAACUGGCUCCCCGUCCAAGGUUAUCUCCACCAAUAAAGUCUAAGCUUUGGCAUCUGGAACUCGAGUGAUUUUUGCAAUGAGGGGAAGACUAUUUCCACAGCAGCUUCAGCUGUACAAAACACCCAGAAUCCAUCAUCUUCCUGUUAUCACUGUAAAGCUGCUUCAAAAUAAUCUGUAUUGUUUAAAGUGCUAUAUAAACCUGACCUGGUAGAUUUGUUGUAUUGAAGCAUUCAGCAUUGUAGCGCAUAUCAUCUUGACCCAUUCGCUU